RNAcentral lists this transfer RNA (61 nucleotides) under Heterocephalus glaber (naked mole-rat). It matches the Rfam family "tRNA", at positions 6 to 65 of the family's 71-position model. From Rfam's summary of the family: Transfer RNA (tRNA) molecules are approximately 80 nucleotides in length. Their secondary structure includes four short double-helical elements and three loops (D, anti-codon, and T loops). Further hydrogen bonds mediate the characteristic L-shaped molecular structure. tRNAs have two regions of fundamental functional importance: the anti-codon, which is responsible for specific mRNA codon recognition, and the 3' end, to which the tRNAs corresponding amino acid is attached (by aminoacyl-tRNA synthetases). tRNAs cope with the degeneracy of the genetic code in two manners: having more than one tRNA (with a specific anti-codon) for a particular amino acid; and 'wobble' base-pairing, i.e. permitting non-standard base-pairing at the 3rd anti-codon position. Lineage: Eukaryota; Metazoa; Chordata; Mammalia; Rodentia; Bathyergidae. The record is from Rfam by way of RNAcentral.
UAUAGCUCAAUGCUAGAGCACUUGCCUAGCAUGCAUGAAACCCUGGAUUUAAUCCCCAGUA